GGCCCCAUCGUCUAGCGGUUAGGACACUGGCCUCUCACGCCGGUAACACGAGUUCAAAUCUCGUUGGGGUCGCAA
Molecule: transfer RNA, 75 nt
Filed under: Sorangiineae bacterium NIC37A_2
Lineage: Bacteria; Pseudomonadati; Myxococcota; Myxococcia; Myxococcales
Description: tRNA-Glu
Rfam family: tRNA
About the family: Transfer RNA (tRNA) molecules are approximately 80 nucleotides in length.
Source: RNAcentral